CAAAGUGUAGCUUAAAUAAAAGCACCUAGUUUACACCUAGAAGAUUUCACAUAGGUUUUCGUUUA
Molecule: transfer RNA, 65 nt
Filed under: Myotis velifer (mouse-eared bat)
Lineage: Eukaryota; Metazoa; Chordata; Mammalia; Chiroptera; Vespertilionidae
Description: tRNA-Val
Source: RNAcentral